UUCCAGACUCCUACGGGAGGCAGCAGUGGGGAAUAUUGGGCAAUGGGCGCAAGCCUGACCCAGCAACGCCGCGUGAAGGAAGAAGGCUUUCGGGUUGUAAACUUCUUUUCUCAGGGACGAAGAAAGUGACGGUACCUGAGGAAUAAGCCACGGCUAACUACGUGCCAGCAGCCGCGGUAAUACGUAGGUGGCAAGCGUUAUCCGGAUUUACUGGGUGUAAAGGGCGUGUAGGCGGGAAAGCAAGUCAGAUGUGAAAACCAUGGGCUCAACCUGUGGCCUGCAUUUGAAACUGUUCUUCUUGAGUACUGGAGAGGCAGACGGAAUUCCUGGUGUAGCGGUGAAAUGCGUAGAUAUCAGGAGGAACACCGGUGGCGAAGGCGGCCUGCUGGACUGCAACUGACGUUGAGGCCCGAAAGCGUGGGGAGCAAACAGGAUUAGAUACCCGCGUAU
This 450-nucleotide ribosomal RNA is filed under the name uncultured bacterium. RNAcentral describes it as "bacterial SSU rRNA". It matches the Rfam family "Bacterial small subunit ribosomal RNA", at positions 329 to 793 of the family's 1533-position model. The record is from RNAcentral.